GUGAUGUGUAACGUAAACAGUAAACUGAAAGUGAACUGUAAGAUGUCCACCUGGUUGCCAGACGAGAAAAAGCAGUUUGCUAUGAUGCAGUGAAUUAGAAGUUACCUGCGGUGCGCUGUGGGUUGUGCCGGCUGCGGGGCGAGGACCGGUCUGCGCAUGCGCUCCUGGCCGGCCUGGCAAGCGGCACCGCCUUCUGGCUCCACCCGGACCUCACCAUCGCCUUCGCCGCCGUAACGACGCUCGUACAGCUGCGGGUGGCGCACCUCUGCGACCGGCGCCUGCUCGAGCCCGUGUGGGCGCUGUGUCUGUCUGCGCUGCUACACGUGGCCGUCCUGGACCGGCUCCACUGUCCCCCGGGUUUCAUGGCCCUCACCGAGAUUCUCGCUCCAGGCGUAGUACUCGGAAUCCACAAACGGUUGUUCUACCUCGAGUAGUACGAGUAGAUCGGCUGCCGGACCAAUGAGCAGCGCAAGAAAUGGGACUUCUGCUUGCGGUGUACCAAGAUGCAGGAAACAGUCUUCGAACUCACGUGCUGAAGCUUCUGCUGUUAUCCUACGGAUUGGUGCGGAGAUCACUGCCAAGGAAUCUACUGUAUAAAAUACUUCAUAAAUGUGACCGAAAAGUGACCUUGUUAGCUAUUCAAUAGCGCACUCCUCGUUAUCAAUCUUACAUACUAUAAAAGCUUUAUGUGGGUUUUUAAACCCCUGCCUAUAAAAAAAAUUACACCAAAAAUUACGUCCUAAGAAGUAGAAGCUGACAGUUUCAUCCAGAACUUCAAACGUGUUUCUCCUCUUCUUUAUACACAAGUCUAAUUUGACUAAUAGUAAAUGCCAUGAGAGCAAUGAAUUCAGUGUUUGACGCGGAGUCGUACACUUACAAAACAAUUUACAGUGAUUUUAAAGAAUUCCAAUAUUUUGUUUUACAGCAAAGCACAUUACCUUGGUCAUAGCUUUGUAGUUUUAUGUUCUACUUGGACGUUUCUCAUAUGCCUUAAAUAUCAUGCACUUCUAAACCCUUUAUUACUGUUGCUGGACGAAAAGUAAUGACAUUUAACAGAUGUGGUAUGUUGCUCUCCUUGUUUCUUGUUCUGUUACUAAAGACCUCAGCGUAGACAGAACGUCAAACACGAAUCUCCUUUCCCUCCUACUGUCGAGGUUCAUGUACAAUUUAUCUGCGAUAGCACUUACUUUUAUCGGAUAAUAAAAACAUACAUCCAAACUAUCUUAGAGAUUUAUUUUCAUUUAUUAAUAACUUCAUAUUGU
This is a long non-coding RNA of Schistocerca serialis cubense, 1262 nucleotides long. RefSeq lists it as uncharacterized. The record is from RefSeq and is a predicted model, not a curated record. Lineage: Eukaryota; Metazoa; Arthropoda; Insecta; Orthoptera; Acrididae. The transcript is spliced from 4 exons.